ACCUGGAACCUGCAGGAGUCACAGUCUCAGUGUUCCCAAUGUUCUCAAUGGACCUCCUGAGGAGCAUUUAGCUGAAGAUCUGUAUCUGUGGAGACAUUAGAGGCCAGGAGGAGGAGGAGGAGGAGGAGGAGGAGGAGAGGCUUCAGGCUGCAGAAGGUUAAUGAAGGCAGAGCAGCUGGGAUUAUCGCCCUGAAUAGAGGCGGGGAUAAACGGAGUAAAUGCUGCCGGUCAACGAGGAUCAGACAGACUCAGAGGGAAGAAGGAGGAGGAGGAGAAGAAGAAGGAGAAGAAGUCUUCUUAGGAGACCAGCAGAUUCAACUGGAUUCUGAUGUUUCUUCCUCAGACGCUUUCAUCAGGACAGCUUUUAUUCUGAAAAUAUCACCGAUGAAGAGAAGGAGAGGAGGCACACGGUGGAAAAUGACUCAUUUUAACCACCGAACAAUUUAUUUCAGCACAUUUUAUGGGUUUAUAUAUUUAUUUAUUUAUUCUUCUUUUAUUAUUUACUUAUUUGUUAUUCUUUUAUUAUUUACUUAUCACUUUUAUUAAUUUAUUAUUAAUUUAUUAUUAUUUGUUAUUUCUCUUAUUUCAUUAUUUCAUUAUUUAUUUAUUUAUUUAUUAUUUCCAAAUGUUCACAGUAAUGUUAAGUUACAGAUGAUAGCUAAUUAAUUUACAGAAAAAUUUUAAUUUUUUUUUACAAUGUUAGACUGUUAAAAUUGGGUUAUUUUUGUAUAUAUUUAAUUUUAUUAUUUUUUGUUAAAUGUGUUGGAACAGGACAGUUUUCCACAAUUUUUCUGUGGAUUUGAAAUUUUUUUAAAUGUAUAUCAAGGAGUAAAAAUUUGUAAAUAAUUUUAUUUAACAAGCAUUUUUUACUGAUUUUUCCAGUUUCAGAUAAUAACCAAUGAAAAUAAAUUAAUUAAUCAAAAAUAGAUGAAUAAAUAAAUAAACAAUAAAUAAAUAACAGGACAAAACUGUAAAUAACGUCAAAAUUCAAUUAAAAUUAUAUUUAAAAAAUUUUAAUUUUUUUGCAAAGUUUGACUGUUAAUAUUGUGUUAUUAUUGUACUUUUUUUAUUUUCUUUUGAACAGUUUGUGAACAGGACAAUUUCCACUAACACUCCUUUGUAUAUUACAUUUUUUAAAAAUGUAUAUCGAGGAGUGAAAAUUGUAAAUAAUCUUAUAUAAUUGUUAUUUUACAGAUUUUUUUCCCAGUUUCUUAAAUUGCAGAUAAAAACUAACAAACUCAAUAAAUAAAUAAAUAACAGGACAAAACUGUAAAUAACGUCAAAAUUCAAUCAAAAUUGUAUUUCAAAAAUUGUAAUUAAAUUUUUUUUAACAAA
Long non-coding RNA from Amphiprion ocellaris (clown anemonefish), 1335 nucleotides. RefSeq lists it as uncharacterized. Lineage: Eukaryota; Metazoa; Chordata; Actinopteri; Pomacentridae. The transcript is spliced from 2 exons. The record is from RefSeq and is a predicted model, not a curated record.